UUGGGAGCUCACUGGCUUCGGGUUCCGUAGGAACUCCGAAGUUAAGCGAGAAGGAGGCCAGAGCACUCCCAUGAUGGGUGACCCACUGGGAAGUUGCUCGUGAGUUCCCAAAAAACAAAAACCGUGAGGGCGUGUGUCGGGGCCCAAAGCGGACAAUAUCGUGCUACGGUGGUGGAACGGGCCCGGGAAGUGGUCCGCCCCGGGCCGGGAUGUGACAAUUUGGUAUCAGAGCCUAACCCUGGCCGUGGUGUGCCGACGAGGACGUCGGGCCCCUAAGGGGGGUGGAUUGUAACAUCCCACAUCGCCCAGGGGAGUGAUCCUUAAAUGCAAAUUCCCAUCCCUACCUAGCACGAGGCCUUUUGGGAGCUCACUGGCUUCGGGUUCCGUAGGAACUCCGAAGUUAAGCGAGAAGGAGGCCAGAGCACUCCCAUGAUGGGUGACCCACUGGGAAGUUGCUCGUGAGUUCCCAAA
RNAcentral lists this small RNA (471 nucleotides) under Malus domestica (apple). The record is from RNAcentral. Lineage: Eukaryota; Viridiplantae; Streptophyta; Magnoliopsida; Rosales; Rosaceae.